GAGACCUAUUUCAUCCCUUUUCUGAUUCUUACAACCGUCUUCUUUAAAUUCAGCUCUGAUGAACAUACACCAGUAGAAGAUGAAGAGCCAAAGAAAAGCACCACUUCAGCUUCUACUUCAGAAGAAGAAAAGAAGAAGAAGAAGAAGUCUAGUCAUUCAAAAGAAAGGUCCAAGAAAAGGAGGAAGAAAAAAUCAUCUAAAAGAAAACACAAAAAGUAUUCUGACGAUAGUGACAGUGAGUCUGAUUCUGAAACUGACUCCAGUGGUAAGAAAAU
This is a long non-coding RNA of Hipposideros armiger (great roundleaf bat), 275 nucleotides long. RefSeq lists it as uncharacterized. The record is from RefSeq and is a predicted model, not a curated record. The transcript is spliced from 2 exons. Lineage: Eukaryota; Metazoa; Chordata; Mammalia; Chiroptera; Hipposideridae.